AUGGGAGUCAGUUCGGCUGGAUCGGUGACAGGUGCUGCAUGGCUGUCGUCAGCUCGUGUCGUGAGAUGUUGGGUUAAGUCCCGCAACGAGCGCAACCCUUGUCCUUAGUUGCCAGCAUUCAGUUGGGCACUCUAAGGAGACUGCCGGUGUCAAACCGGAGGAAGGUGGGGAUGACGUCAAGUCCUCAUGGCCCUUAUGUCCAGGGCUACACACGUGCUACAAUGGCCGGUACAAAGGGGCGCAAGACCGCGAGGUGGAGCAAAUCCCAAAAAACCGGUCUCAGUUCGGAUUGGAGUCUGCAACUCGACUCCAUGAAGUUGGAAUCGCUAGUAAUCGCGUAUCAGCAUGACGCGGUGAAUACGUUCCCGGGCCUU
Molecule: ribosomal RNA, 374 nt
Filed under: uncultured Geothermobacter sp.
Lineage: Bacteria; Pseudomonadati; Thermodesulfobacteriota; Desulfuromonadia; Desulfuromonadales; Geothermobacteraceae
Description: bacterial SSU rRNA
Rfam family: Bacterial small subunit ribosomal RNA
Source: RNAcentral